CACAUGCAAGUCGGACGGCAGCACAGAGAAGCUUGCUUCUUGGGUGGCGUGUGGCGAACGGGUGAGUAAUAUAUCGGAACGUACCGAGUAAUGGGGGAUAACUAAUCGAAAGAUUAGCUAAUACCGCAUAUUCUCUGAGGAGGAAAGCAGGGGACCUUCGGGCCUUGCGUUAUUCGAGCGGCCGAUAUCUGAUUAGCUAGUUGGUGGGGUAAAGGCCUACCAAGGCGACGAUCAGUAGCGGGUCUGAGAGGAUGAUCCGCCACACUGGGACUGAGACACGGCCCAGACUCCUACGGGAGGCAGCAGUGGGGAAUUUUGGACAAUGGGCGCAAGCCUGAUCCAGCCAUGCCGCGUGUCUGAAGAAGGCCUUCGGGUUGUAAAGGACUUUUGUCAGGGAAGAAAAGGCUGUUGCUAAUAUCGACAGCUGAUGACGGUACCUGAAGAAUAAGCACCGGCUAACUACGUGCCAGCAGCCGCGGUAAUACGUAGGGUGCGAGCGUUAAUCGGAAUUACUGGGCGUAAAGCGAGCGCAGACGGUUACUUAAGCAGGAUGUGAAAUCCCCGGGCUCAACCUGGGAACUGCGUUCUGAACUGGUGACUAGAGCGUGUCAGAGGGAGGUAGAAUUCCACGUGUAGCAGUGAAAUGCGUAGAGAUGUGGAGGAAUACCGAUGGCGAAGGCAGCCUCCUGGGAUAACACUGACGUUCAUGCUCGAAAGCGUGGGUAGCAAACAGGAUUAGAUACCCUGGUAGUCCACGCCCUAAACGAUGUCAAUUAGCUGUUGGGCAACUUGAUUGCUUAGUAGCGUAGCUAACGCGUGAAAUU
Molecule: ribosomal RNA, 824 nt
Filed under: uncultured Neisseria sp.
Lineage: Bacteria; Pseudomonadati; Pseudomonadota; Betaproteobacteria; Neisseriales; Neisseriaceae
Description: bacterial SSU rRNA
Rfam family: Bacterial small subunit ribosomal RNA
Source: RNAcentral